UACAGAGGUCUCAAGCGUUGUUCGGAUUCAUUGGGCGUAAAGGGUGCGUAGGUGGCGCCGUAAGUCAGGUGUGAAAUUUCGAGGCUUAACCUCGAAACUGCAUUUGAUACUGCGGUGCUUGAGGACUGGAGAGGAGACUGGAAUUCAUGGUGUAGCAGUGAAAUGUGUAGAGAUCGGGAGGAACACCGGUGGCGAAGGCGGGUCUCUGGGCAUUUCCUGACGCUGAGGCGCGAAAGCGUGGGGAGCAAACGGG
RNAcentral lists this ribosomal RNA (253 nucleotides) under uncultured prokaryote. Its description in RNAcentral is "partial 16S ribosomal RNA". It matches the Rfam family "Bacterial small subunit ribosomal RNA", at positions 524 to 776 of the family's 1533-position model. The record is from RNAcentral.